Carassius auratus (goldfish) is the source of this 1420-nucleotide long non-coding RNA. RefSeq lists it as uncharacterized. Lineage: Eukaryota; Metazoa; Chordata; Actinopteri; Cypriniformes; Cyprinidae. The record is from RefSeq and is a predicted model, not a curated record. The transcript is spliced from 13 exons.
UUCUUUCUUGAGCUAGUAAGCUUCACUCAGCCAAGUCAUUCUAAGCCAUCCAAAUCAUAAUGGAUGCUUCCAAACAUUAUAGGAAACCUCUACAAAGACUGCCUGCAUCCAUCCAUUUGUCUCUUAAUAUCACAAUUAAGUCAAUAGAACAACACAAAAUUGGUUUGUGCAUCAAGUCUCACUAACUACUGUCAAAGAUUUCUGCAAUAUGCUACAUAUUUGAAACUUCCUCCUUAUCCUAUAUUAGAUUUUUUUCUUCGCCAUGAACUGUUUUUAUGAAGAGGCACACAACCAAUCAAAAGGUUUGUGCAAUACGUUACACUUCAAACUUCCACCUUAUCCAUUAUGAUUCUCUGUUCCACGGACUGUUUUUAUGAAGAGGCACACAACCAAUCAAAAGGUUUGUGCAAUACGUUACACUUCAAACUUCCACCUUAUCCAUUAUGAUUCUCUGUUCCACGGACUGUUUUUAUGAAGAGGCACACAACCAAUCAAAAGGUUUGUGCAAUACGUUACACUUCAAACUUCCACCUUAUCCAUUAUGAUUCUCUGUUCCACGGACUGUUUUUAUGAAGAGGCACACAACCAAUCAAAAGGUUUGUGCAAUACGUUACACUUCAAACUUCCACCUUAUCCAUUAUGAUUCUCUGUUCCACGGACUGUUUUUAUGAAGAGGCACACAACCAAUCAAAAGGUUUGUGCAAUACGUUACACUUCAAACUUCCACCUUAUCCAUUAUGAUUCUCUGUUCCACGGACUGUUUUUAUGAAGAGGCACACAACCAAUCAAAAGGUUUGUGCAUGAAAACCCAAUAUCUACUGUCCACUGUUCCCAAGAGAUUUCUGCAAUAUGCUACAUAUGUGAAACUUCCUCCUUCAGUAUUGGAUUCUCCACUCCAUGAACUGUUUUUAUGGAGAGGCACACAACCAAUACAACGAUUUCUGCAAUAGCUACAGUUGAAACUUCUUCCGUAUCCAUUAAAUGAUUCUCCACUCUAUGAACCCUUUUUAUGAAGAACACAACUGAAAAAAGUGAAUACAAAAUCAUUGUUCAAGUAUCUUCAGAAAUAGUCCCGGCGAAAUUCUAAACUGAUGCAGGCAGUCAAUAGUCAAAGAUCUCACAAAUGCAUAACCACAAAAGUAACACAAUUCUAUAUGAAAUGUUGUAUGGAUGGCUUGUAAUAUAUUUGGUCUAUGUACAGCAAAUUUAGAUGCCAGCCAAAGGAGGAUGGCUUGCCCCUGCUGAGUCUGGUUCCUCCCAAGGUUUCUCCCUAUACCUCCGCUGAUGAUCCUCUUCACUAAUUUAGGGAGUUUUUCCUUGCCACUGUUGCCUUCUGGCUUGCUCACUGGGGUUUUAAGGCACAAUAUUUUCAAUGUAAAGUGUUUGUAAAGAAAAAUAAAUACAUGAUGAAUUAGAAUAU